RNAcentral lists this ribosomal RNA (253 nucleotides) under uncultured bacterium. Its description in RNAcentral is "partial 16S ribosomal RNA". It matches the Rfam family "Bacterial small subunit ribosomal RNA", at positions 524 to 776 of the family's 1533-position model. The record is from RNAcentral.
UACGGAGGAUCCGAGCGUUAUCCGGAUUUAUUGGGUUUAAAGGGUGCGUAGGCGGUUUGAUAAGUUAGAGGUGAAAUGUCGGGGCUCAACCCCGAAACUGCCUCUAAUACUGUUAGACUAGAGAAUAGUUGCGGUAGGCGGAAUGUAUGGUGUAGCGGUGAAAUGCUUAGAGAUCAUACAGAACACCGAUUGCGAAGGCAGCUUACCAAACUAUAUCUGACGUUGAGGCACGAAAGCGUGGGUAGCAAACAGG